Molecule: ribosomal RNA, 274 nt
Filed under: uncultured bacterium
Lineage: Bacteria
Description: partial 16S ribosomal RNA
Rfam family: Bacterial small subunit ribosomal RNA
Source: RNAcentral
AUACGGAGGGUGCAAGCGUUAUCCGGAUUUAUUAGGUUUAAAGGGUGUGUAGGCGGUAUUUUAAGUCAGUGGUGAAAUCUUUCAGCUUAACUGAGAAACUGCCAUUGAUACUGGAAUACUUGAGUAUAGUUGAGGUAGGCGGAAUAUGUAAUGUAGCGGUGAAAUGCGUAGAUAUUACAUAGAACACCGAUUGCGAAGGCAGCUUACUAAACUAUUACUGACGCUGAUGCACGAAAGCGUGGGGAGCGAACAGAAUUAGAAACCCUAGUAGUCC